Molecule: ribosomal RNA, 333 nt
Filed under: uncultured bacterium
Lineage: Bacteria
Description: bacterial SSU rRNA
Rfam family: Bacterial small subunit ribosomal RNA
Source: RNAcentral
AAUCAACGCUGGCGGCGUGCCUCAGACAUGCAAGUCGAACGAUUAAAGCUCUCUUCGGAGAGUGUAUAAAGUGGCGCACGGGUGAGUGACACGUAAGUAAUCUACCUUCGAGUGGGAAGUAACGUCCGGAACGGACGCUAAUACGCAUAAUGCAGCGGCAUCGCAAGAUGACAGUUGUUAAAGAUUUAUCGCUUGAAGAGGAGCUUGCGGCAGAUUAGCUAGUUGGUAAGGUAAUGGCUUACCAAGGCUACGAUCUGUAACCGGUCUAAGAGGACGGUCGGUCACACUGACACUGAAUAACGGGUCAGACUCCUACGGGAGGCAGCAGUCGGG